GGCAUCCUUCUCUUAUUUGUUUAACCAUGCUGCUGGCCUAGGUGCAAUCACAGUUUUUCAUUUACAUGAUCUACUAAUUGGAAAUCUGUGCCUACCCAGCCUCAGUCCAUGCUUAGACGCUCCUGCUGCUGGCCUUGGAUAUUUCAUUCCAAAUAUACCCUGGGUGCCAAGAAUGAUAAAAAAAAAAAAAAACCCACUUGAGAACAGUGUUGUCAGACCUUAGCGUGCAAAAGAAGCACCUGGCAUACUUGAUGAAACACAUACUCUCAGGCCAGCCCCAAAAGAUUCUGAUUUAAUAAGUCUGAGAUCUAAACUCUAAUGCAAUUGGAAAAAGGACCUCUCAACACUCACAGAGCAAGGAGAAGACAUAAUGAUCUCCAGAAUGAAUUUCCAAGAUCAAAGCAGAACUAAGUGUGCCUGUGAAUGUAAGAACAGGUAACACUGGACAGCUGUGACCAUAAAGAAGUCAUCAGAUCAAUUGAUCACCAUGUCAUUUUGGCUGUGGUUCUAAAUGGUUUUUUUGUUGUUGUUUGUUUGAAGUAUCUGGCACAAGAUAAAGAGAGAUUCUGCUGUAAGGAAC
Bos taurus (domestic cattle) is the source of this 580-nucleotide long non-coding RNA. NCBI's taxonomy places the organism in Eukaryota, Metazoa, Chordata, Mammalia, Artiodactyla, Bovidae. The record is from Ensembl.